GGAGAGAUGGCCGAGUUGGUCGAAGGCGCUCGACUCGAAAUCGAGUAGGUGGCUAAUAACCGCCUCGUGAGUUCGAAUCUCACUCUCUCCGCCA
This 94-nucleotide transfer RNA is filed under the name Syntrophomonadaceae bacterium. RNAcentral's name for it is "tRNA-Ser". It matches the Rfam family "tRNA". From Rfam's summary of the family: Transfer RNA (tRNA) molecules are approximately 80 nucleotides in length. Their secondary structure includes four short double-helical elements and three loops (D, anti-codon, and T loops). Further hydrogen bonds mediate the characteristic L-shaped molecular structure. tRNAs have two regions of fundamental functional importance: the anti-codon, which is responsible for specific mRNA codon recognition, and the 3' end, to which the tRNAs corresponding amino acid is attached (by aminoacyl-tRNA synthetases). tRNAs cope with the degeneracy of the genetic code in two manners: having more than one tRNA (with a specific anti-codon) for a particular amino acid; and 'wobble' base-pairing, i.e. permitting non-standard base-pairing at the 3rd anti-codon position. Lineage: Bacteria; Bacillati; Bacillota; Clostridia; Eubacteriales; Syntrophomonadaceae. The record is from RNAcentral.